RNAcentral lists this long non-coding RNA (1683 nucleotides) under Nicotiana benthamiana. RNAcentral's name for it is "long non-coding RNA (NBEN_LNC027587)". The record is from RNAcentral. Lineage: Eukaryota; Viridiplantae; Streptophyta; Magnoliopsida; Solanales; Solanaceae.
AUGGUUUUUCUCUUUGCUCGAGGAGUGGUGGUGAAGAAGAAGAAGAAGCAGCCCCCCUUUUAGGCUUCUUUCUCUUAGCAUUUAUAGUUGUGUAUCUUGCUAGAUGGCGUUUGGAAGGCCGUGGUCAUGUCGGGUGAACGUCCGCCAAUAAUGAACAGGUCGUGGCCUCAUUAAGUUGAGUGAUCUUCGAGUACUUAUUCUUAACGAAUAAUUACGCCAUUUGUUAGCCCAAAUACGCUUGAGAGCCAAUUAAUCUUGUUAAUUAUCAUGAGUCAAGUUUUUGAGCCAUACAAAAACAUCAGCUCUAGAGCUGAAAUUUUUAUGUUGUAACUGGAAAACUUCAGCUCUAAAGCUGAAAUUUUCGUUCUAAACUUCAGUUCAUGAGAGUUGUAUAGACGAUUUGAAACAUUACCAAGUAAACAUGCUUUGCAGCAAAAAGUCACUGUUUCUGGAAGUGUAAAUUCAGAAACUCUGAUUAAGAAAUUGAUUAGAGCUGAUAAAUUUGCUGAGCUAUGGUCUCAGAAAAGUAAUCAAAACCAGAAACAGAACCCGAACUGCAUCAAAGCUGAAAAGGAUAAGGAAACUCAAAAGCAAGAUCACAUUAAGGAUCUUGAAUCCCACCUCAAGAACAAACAAAUGACAUGUUAUUACGAUAUUUUUUAGAAAAACUUUGAAAUAAAAAUCACGAUGAUGAUCUAUAAGAAGAGUGUGAACUCUAAUAAAUUAUAAAAAGACCCUGUCAGAUUUACCUUUUUGCAAAUGAAAGUAUUAAACUGAAGAACAUUGAUACAUAUAAUGCUUCUGGAAAAUAUUGUUUCCUCGCAGAAGAAGAAGAAGAAAAUGAAGGAGAAGGAGAAAGAGGCUGAAGUUAAAAAAGUGAAUACAAGUUCAAAGUUUUUAUAAAAAUGGGUAUAUGUUAAAUGGGGGCGACCAAAUAAGGUGCCCGAGAAAUUUUUACUCGGAAAAAUGGAAUAAAACUUACUCCAAAAGGCAGAGGUAUAAUCAAAAGAACUGUUGAAACAGUGACUUCAGGUGGCAAUAGUACAACAAUUAGCAGUAACGUUGUGAAAUGGAUGCAUAAGAUACAAGAGUGUCCUUCAGGCUUUUCUACGUCCCUAUGAAGUAUCACUAUUCAUUAGUAUGUUUCUAAAUUAUCAAGACAAGUAAUAAUUGCUCGAGUGCCUAUCGUCUUAAAUUAAAAGAGGGAUAUGAUACAGUAGAAGUUGAAGAUGUAUGAAAUUCUAAGACAAGAGCAAGGAUCAUCUAGUAAAGCUUCUUCAUGAGGUGGAAGUUAAGCUUGGUGAAACACAAUAUCCCUAGAUUAUAAUUGUUGAAGUUGGAAGAUGAGUACAUAAACAGUCGACCAAAUUUAGUAGAUUAUUGGGUUAUGGUGAAGCAGAGACCUAUGUCACGAACCGGAUAACUCCCUAGCUAUUUUCCGUGCGGCCUUAGUCACAAUUCGCCCCUGCGAUGUGCUAAGUCAGCCUUUCCCCGAACUAACACCACAACAAAGCUAAGAGAAGCUAAGCGUGCGGCCUUAGUCACAAUUCGCCCCUGCGAUGUGCUAAGUCAGCCUUUCCCCGAACUAUUGCCACAACAAAGCUAAGAGAAGCUAAGAAGAGAAGCUUGCAAGAAAGCUUUGUAUUAAACAAGAGAAAUCUUUAUACAAAUGUUGGAUUGCUC